GGAAGCGAGGAAGCUGCUGACGUCUGCGGCCCCGGCGUCGUGCGCAGUCGGGCCAAACGCGGCGACCGGCUCGGGUCGGUUUGGGAGCAGAGAAGUUUUCCCCCGAGUGGUCGCCAGACACCUCUGCCGAGUUGUGGCGGCCGGGCAGGGUCGCAGGGCUGUGGAGGCAGGGAGCCAGGUCGGCUGCAGGCCCGGCCGGGGCGCUCGCCCUCCCCUUCCUUUUCUCCAUCCCCUCCCCUCCCCCACGCUCACGUGCUCCUGACCCCAAGGCGAGCGAGGAUUGCCCAGCAGGUCACUGUGAAGUUGGGACACGUGAGUUGGCAGAGAUGAACUCUUCCUGCAGUGGACACCAACCCAGAGACGGCUAAGCGAGCAUUCCCGAAGUCCUGCACUCAGCUGACCAGGGGAGAAGAGCUUAUGAACUUGAUGAAAAGGUCUUGUGUUGAGCCUGUGCAAUUACCUCCUGUUCUUCCCCACAAUCCACUGAAAUGGGAAGAAAUUAAAAAGAGAGAGAAGAAAAGAAAAGAGGAAACUUUGUAGGACUGCUGUAAAAGAGGAAAAUGUACCAUUGAUGUAUAAGAAAUAUGGAACUUGGGGAAUAUGUGAAACAGAAAGGACCAAAUGGAAGCAAAAACCUAUCAGACUUGAAUAGCAGAUUCCACAUAUAGUAGAAGAAAGACUGAAGAUAAAUGAACCCAUCCACGUUUGUCACUCAGUGGUUAUUUGAGUGCAGUGUUGAGAAGGUGUGUGAAGGACUUACAGUUUUCCCUUGAACAACAUGGGUUUGAAUUGUGUGGGUCCAUUUAUACACGAUUGUAUUCAAUAAAUAUACAAAGAUAUAUGUGUAGAACAUCAUGUGCAAGACUUAUAUUGAAGUGGAUAGCCUAUCCUUACACAGACAUAGAGGGAAGGAAGAAUGAGAUGGGGUCAUCGGCAUCUUCCUGCAGCUCUGUAAAUCUGUUGACGAUUGCCAAACUCAGAAAGCCAUGUGAAAAGAGAGCGAGUCAGAGUAAGGAGGAUCAGAGGAUGUCUUUGACAGUUAUUUCUGGUGGACCAGAGCCCAGGAUACUGAUGCCAGCGUGACUCCCACUGAGCUCUCAAUCUGAAGAUUUAGCCAUUAGUACUCACUGGCCAUGGCCAUGGUCCUGAGCCUGGACCUCCUGCUCACUUUCCAUCCAGGACAGCGGUGACAGCGUGGGAUGC
Long non-coding RNA from Mesoplodon densirostris (Blainville's beaked whale), 1203 nucleotides. RefSeq lists it as uncharacterized. The transcript has 9 exons. NCBI's taxonomy places the organism in Eukaryota, Metazoa, Chordata, Mammalia, Artiodactyla, Ziphiidae. The record is from RefSeq and is a predicted model, not a curated record.